Molecule: microRNA, 19 nt
Filed under: Solanum tuberosum (potato)
Lineage: Eukaryota; Viridiplantae; Streptophyta; Magnoliopsida; Solanales; Solanaceae
Description: stu-miR172c-5p
Gene: stu-miR172c-5p
Source: miRBase by way of RNAcentral
AGCAUCUUCAAGAUUCACA